Molecule: ribosomal RNA, 404 nt
Filed under: Actinomycetes bacterium
Lineage: Bacteria; Bacillati; Actinomycetota; Actinomycetes
Description: Actinobacteria bacterium partial 16S ribosomal RNA
Rfam family: Bacterial small subunit ribosomal RNA
Source: RNAcentral
UGGGGAAUAUUGGACAAUGGGCGCAAGCCUGACCCAGCCAUGCUGCGUGAGUGAUGAAGGCCCUAGGGUUGUAAAGCUCUUUCACCGGUGAAGAUAAUGACGGUAACCGGAGAAGAAGCCCCGGCUAACUUCGUGCCAGCAGCCGCGGUAAUACGAAGGGGGCUAGCGUUGUUCGGAUUUACUGGGCGUAAAGCGCACGUAGGCGGACUUUUAAGUCAGGGGUGAAAUCCCGGGGCUCAACCCCGGAACUGCCUUUGAUACUGGGAGUCUUGAGUAUGGUAGAGGUGAGUGGAAUUCCUAGUGUAGAGGUGAAAUUCGUAGAUAUUCGAAGGAACACCAGUGGCGAAGGCGGCUCACUGGACCAAUACUGACGCUGAGGUGCGAAAGCGUGGGGAGCAAACAGG